This 576-nucleotide ribosomal RNA is filed under the name uncultured bacterium. RNAcentral describes it as "bacterial SSU rRNA". It matches the Rfam family "Bacterial small subunit ribosomal RNA", at positions 291 to 859 of the family's 1533-position model. The record is from RNAcentral.
CCUGAGAGGGUGAUCGGCCACACUGGGACUGAGACACGGCCCAGACUCCUACGGGAGGCAGCAGUAGGGAAUCUUCCGCAAUGGACGAAAGUCUGACGGAGCAACGCCGCGUGAGUGAUGAAGGUUUUCGGAUCGUAAAACUCUGUUGUAAGGGAAGAACAAGUACGACGUAACUACUCGUACCUUGACGGUACCUUACCAGAAAGCCACGGCUAACUACGUGCCAGCAGCCGCGGUAAUACGUAGGUGGCAAGCGUUGUCCGGAAUUAUUGGGCGUAAAGCGCGCGUAGGCGGUCUUUUAAGUCUGAUGUGAAAGCCCCCGGCUCAACCGGGGAGGGUCAUUGGAAACUGGGAGACUUGAGUGCAGAAGAGGAGAGUGGAAUUCCAUGCGUAGCGGUGAAAUGCGCAGAGAUAUGGAGGAACACCAGUGGCGAAGGCGGCUCUCUGGUCUGUAACUGACGCUGAUGUGCGAAAGCGUGGGGAUCAAACAGGAUUAGAUACCCUGGUAGUCCACGCCGUAAACGAUGAGUGCUAAGUGUUAGGGGGUUUCCGCCCCUUAGUGCUGCAGCAAACGCA